This 611-nucleotide long non-coding RNA is filed under the name Hordeum vulgare. RNAcentral describes it as "long non-coding RNA (HVUL_LNC013488)". Lineage: Eukaryota; Viridiplantae; Streptophyta; Magnoliopsida; Poales; Poaceae. The record is from RNAcentral.
CACAAUACGUUUAUUGAUUUAUUUUCUCAUUUAAGAACGACAUUGUUGUCUUGGAAUAUAUAGUAUAAACUCUCUUAUCCAAUAAUAUUGUUUCACUCAUUGAAGCAAACUGUACAGUUGCAAUUGUGUCCAUCACAAUGAGCGUCCUUGGAAUAACCACCCCGUCCUUUCGCUAUGGAGCCGCAGGUCAACUUGCAAAGGAUUUUGGUGCAGAAGAUCAGUCCAUCCGAACCAUCCUGAAGGCAGCGCUCUGUGGCAUAAAAAUAACCACAACGUUACUGUGAAGGCUAUAUAUGUGCCUGUAAACAGGAGUAAAACUGUAGCAUGUGCAACAAAAUUUGCAUGCUUCUAUCUAAAUGAAACUAUUCAUCUCCUUUGUUCACAAAAAAACUAGUCAUCACAAAUUCAACAACAUUUACUUGAGACUUGCAAGGGUAACAACAGAACAAAGAACACACCUGCCGAAGUUGGAUUUCCGAGCAACAGAAGCAGCAAAACGAAACAAACACCCGUAGCAUGUGCAUCCAUUACGAACUGUCUCGCUAACAACAGUACCUCUUUUCUUGUUGUAAUCUCUCUUGUGCGUGGCUAGGAAACAACACCGUAUGUUC